Molecule: ribosomal RNA, 724 nt
Filed under: gamma proteobacterium IMCC14232
Lineage: Bacteria; Pseudomonadati; Pseudomonadota; Gammaproteobacteria
Description: bacterial SSU rRNA
Rfam family: Bacterial small subunit ribosomal RNA
Source: RNAcentral
AUUGAACGGUGGCGGCACGCCUAAUACAUGCAAGUUUGGGCGAGAAAGCACUUCGGUGCGAGUACAGUGGCGGACGGGUGAGUAACGCGUAGGAAUCUACCUAGUAGUGGGGGACAACUCGAGGAAACUCGAGCUAAUACCGCAUACGCUCUUAGGAGGAAAGUGGGGGAUCUUCGGACCUCACGCUAUUAGAGGAGCCUGCGUUAGAUUAGCUUGUUGGUGAGGUAAAGGCUCACCAAGGCGACGAUCUAUAGCUGGUCUGAGAGGACGAUCAGCCACACUGGAACUGAGACACGGUCCAGACUCCUACGGGAGGCAGCAGUAGGGAAUCUUGGGCAAUGGGCGAAAGCCUGACCCAGCGAUGCCGCGUGUGCGAAGAAGGCCUUAGGGUUGUAAAGCACUUUCAGUCGUGAAGAAAAGCUACGAUUUAAUAUGUCGUGGUCUUGACGUUAGCGACAGAAGAAGUACCGGCUAACUCCGUGCCAGCAGCCGCGGUAAUACGGAGGGUACGAACGUUAAUCGGAAUUACUGGGCGUAAAGCGCGCGUAGGCGGUUUGAUAAGUGGGAUGUGAAAGCCCCGGGCUCAACCUGGGAACUGCAUUCCAAACUGUCAAACUAGAGUGUGGUAGAGGGCGGUAGAAUUUCCUGUGUAGCGGUGAAAUGCGUAGAUAUAGGAAGGAACACCGAUGGCGAAGGCAGCCGCCUGGACCAACACUGACGCUGA